GACGAACGCUGGCGGCGUGCUUAACACAUGCAAGUCGAACGCUGAAGCUCAGCUUUUGUUGGAUGGAUGAGUGGCGAACGGGUGAGUAACACGUGAGUAACCUGCCCCCUUCUUUGGGAUAACGCCCGGAAACGGGUGCUAAUACUGGAUAUUCACUGGUCUUCGCAUGGGGGUUGGUGGAAAGGGUUUUUCUGGUGGGGGAAGGGCUCGCGGACUAUCAGCUUGUUGGUGGGGUGAUGGCCUACCAAGGCUUUGACGGGUGGCCGGCCUGAGAGGGUGACCGGUCACAUUGGGACUGAGAUACGGCCCAGACUCCGGCGGGAGGCAGUAGUGGGGAAUAUUGCGCAAUGGGCGGAAGCCUGAUGCAGCGACGGCGCGUGAGGGAUGGAGGCCUUCGGGUUGUGAACCUCUUUCGCUAAUGGUCAAGCCGCAACAAUGGUUGUGGUGAGGGUAGUGGGUAAAGAAGCGCCGGCUAACUACGUG
RNAcentral lists this ribosomal RNA (483 nucleotides) under uncultured bacterium. RNAcentral describes it as "partial 16S ribosomal RNA". It matches the Rfam family "Bacterial small subunit ribosomal RNA", at positions 28 to 507 of the family's 1533-position model. The record is from RNAcentral.